RNAcentral lists this long non-coding RNA (1623 nucleotides) under Coturnix japonica (Japanese quail). RNAcentral's name for it is "lncRNA (ENSCJPG00005002376.1)". The record is from RNAcentral. Lineage: Eukaryota; Metazoa; Chordata; Aves; Galliformes; Phasianidae.
AUGGGGAUGGAAUGGGGAGAAGAACCGGAACCGGACCGAACCGGAACCGGAACCGAAUCGCGGGAGGGAAUGGGGAUGGGAUGGGGAGAAGAACCGGAACCGGAACCAGAACCGCGGGACUGGAAAUGGGGAACCGAACCGGAACCAGAACCGAACCGGGGGAGGGGAAAUGGGGAUGGAAUGGGGAUGGGAAUGGGGAGCCGAACCGGAACCGAACCGGAACCGGAACCGAACUGCGGGUCUGGAAAUGGGGAUGGAAUGGGGAUCCGAACCGGAACCGGAACUGGAACCAGAACCGAACCGCGGGAGGGGGAAUGGGGAUGGGAUGGGGAGAGGGAAUCGGAACCAGAACCGGAACCGGAACCGAACCGGGGGAGGGGAAAUGGGGAUGGGAUGGGGAGAAGAACCGGAACCGGAACCGAACCGCGGGACUGGAAAUGGGGAUGGGAUGGGGAGAAGAACCAGAACCGAACCGGAACCGAACCGGAAACGAAACCGAACCGCGGGAGGGAAUGGGGAUGGGAUGGGGAGAAGAACCGGAACCGAACUGGAACCGGAACCGAACCGGAACAGAACCUGGGGAGGGGGAAUGGGGAUGGGAUGGGGAGAAGAACCGGAACCGAACCGGAACUGGAACCGAACCGGGGGAGGGGAAUGGGGAUGGGAAUGGGGAGACGAACCGGAACCGAAACCGAACCGGAACCGAACAGCGGGAGGGAAUGGGGCGGGAUGGAUGGGGAGCAGAACCAGAACCGGAACCGAACCGGAACCGGAACCGAAGCGGAACCGAACCGGAACAGAACCUGGGGAGGGGGAAUGGGGAUGGGAAUGGGGAGACGAACCGGAACUGAACCGAACCGGAACCGGAACCGAACCGGAACCGAACAGCGGGAGGGAAUGGGGAUGGGAUGGGGAGAAGAACCGGAACCGGAACCGAACCGGAACAGAACCUGGGGAGGGGGAAUGGGGAUGGGAAUGGGGAACCGAACCGGAACCGAACCGGAACCGAACAGCGGGAGGGGGAAUGGGGAUGGGAUGGGGAGAGGGACCGGAACCGAACUGGAACCGGAACCGAACCGGAACAGGACCGGAGGAGGGAAUGGGGAUGGAAUGGGGAGACGAACUGGAACCGAACCGGAACCGAACCGGAACCGGAACCGAACUGCAGGAGGGAAUGGGGAUGGAGAGGGAAUUGGAACCGGAACCGGAACCGAACCACGGGACUGGAAAUGGGGAUGGAAUGGGGAUCCGAACCGGAACCGGAACCGAACCGAGGGCCUGGAAAUGGGGAACCGAACCGGAACCAGAACCGAAGUUUGGGGCUCAAAAUGGGGAUGGAAUGGGAUGGGGAUCCGAACCGGAACCGGAACCGAACCGGAACCGGAACCGAACAGCGGGAGGGAAUGGGGAUGGGAUGGAUGGGGAGACGAACCGGAACCGGAACCGAACCGGGGGAGGGGAAGUGAAUGGGGAUGGGAAUGGGGAGAGGGAAUCAGAACCGAACCGGAACCGAACCUCGGGAGUGGAAAUGGGCUGAAAAUGGGGAUCAGAACCAGAACCAAAUGGGGACUGAAAAUUGGAUCUGAAAAUACGGAACAGAACCGGAACCCAAAUAGGGACUGA